UCGACCUGAGAUUAGAUAAGAUUACCCGCCGAAUUUAAGCAUAUUAAUAAGCGGAGGAAAAGAAAACAACUGUGAUUCCCUUAGUAAUGGCGAAUGAAAUGGGAAUAGCCCAUCGCGUAACUGCAGGUCAACUUGGCCUCGCGGAAUGUCGCGUUUGGGAGAGUCUCAUCGGGAGCUGGACGGCCAGUCAAAGUCCAACUUGACAGUGGCCACUGCCCAUAGAGGGUGAUAGGCCUGUAAGGCGGCUGUCCGUUUCCGCCGACUUUUCCCCAGAGUCGGGUUGCUUGGGAGUGCAGCCCAAAGUGCGAGGUAAACUCCUCGUAAGGCUAAAUAUGACCUCGAGACCGAUAGCAAACAAGUACCGUGAGGGAAGAUUGAAAAGAACUUUGAAGAGAGAGUUCAAUAGUACGUGAAACUGUGUGGUGGUAAACGGAGGGGUUCUCGAAGUUUCUGUGGGGAACUCAACCUUGGUGUUGGGCAGUCCUGGUGUAUCUGAUCAGCAAUGACUGUGCACUUGGUCUGGCUUGGCUCUCGGGUGCAUUUCCCCCACAGUUUACGACAGGAACCAUUUGGCUCGGAUCGAAGGCCACGGGUGAAGUUGUUGCUUAUGGUGGCAGCCCUGUGUGUCCUGGCUCUGCGCCCGAUGGGUAUGUGAGAGGACUCGUAUAGCGAGCAAUGCUCUGUUGCGGUCUC
This 693-nucleotide ribosomal RNA is filed under the name Phaenna spinifera. RNAcentral describes it as "eukaryotic LSU rRNA". It matches the Rfam family "Eukaryotic large subunit ribosomal RNA", at positions 1 to 630 of the family's 3401-position model. The record is from RNAcentral. Lineage: Eukaryota; Metazoa; Arthropoda; Copepoda; Calanoida; Phaennidae.